GUACUGGCAAUCUCGUUGGUGACAGCGGAGGGAUCAUUACCGAGUUUACAACUCCCAAACCCCUGUGAACAUACCUUAAUGUUGCCUCGGCGGAUCAGCCCGCGCCCCGUAAAACGGGACGGCCCGCCAGAGGACCCAAACUCUAAUGUUUCUUAUUGUAACUUCUGAGUAAAACAAACAAAUAAAUCAAAACUUUCAACAACGGAUCUCUUGGUUCUGGCAUCGAUGAAGAACGCAGCAAAAUGCGAUAAGUAAUGUGAAUUGCAGAAUUCAGUGAAUCAUCGAAUCUUUGAACGCACAUUGCGCCCGCUGGUAUUCCGGCGGGCAUGCCUGUUCGAGCGUCAUUUCAACCCUCAAGCCCCCGGGUUUGGUGUUGGGGAUCGGCUCUGCCCUUCUGGGCGGUGCCGCCCCCGAAAUACAUUGGCGGUCUCGCUGCAGCCUCCAUUGCGUAGUAGCUAACACCUCGCAACUGGAACGCGGCGCGGCCAUGCCGUAAAACCCCAACUUCUGAAUGUUGACCUCGGAUCAGGUAGGAAUACCCGCUGAACUUAAGCAUAUCAAUAAGCGGAGGAA
Molecule: ribosomal RNA, 573 nt
Filed under: Fusarium acuminatum
Lineage: Eukaryota; Fungi; Ascomycota; Sordariomycetes; Hypocreales; Nectriaceae
Description: eukaryotic LSU rRNA
Rfam family: 5.8S ribosomal RNA (bases 191-344)
Source: RNAcentral